CCAGUGACACCAUAUGCUCAUACCAAUCCCAAACUCCACAAAUUGAAAUACACAACACUCAAGAUAGAAGUUAAUGGUUGUAACGGGGCUUGGGGUAUUGGCUAACAAAGAAAGGUGAAGGGUAAACAAACGUUCUGAUAGGAGCAUAUUUAUGCGCCUUAGUUAGCUAGUUCUUAUGCAUUUCCAUGGUGUUUUCUUAGUUAAAGUAGUCUUUUAAGCUAGUUUUAUGUGUUUUCAGGUUUUAAGGCCAAAGGAUGCAAAAAGAUGCAUUUUGGAGCUUUUUGGAGCAAAAUUGG
This 296-nucleotide long non-coding RNA is filed under the name Malus domestica (apple). Its description in RNAcentral is "long non-coding RNA (MDOM_LNC020315)". The record is from RNAcentral. Lineage: Eukaryota; Viridiplantae; Streptophyta; Magnoliopsida; Rosales; Rosaceae.